This 305-nucleotide ribosomal RNA is filed under the name uncultured bacterium. RNAcentral describes it as "bacterial SSU rRNA". It matches the Rfam family "Bacterial small subunit ribosomal RNA", at positions 344 to 641 of the family's 1533-position model. The record is from RNAcentral.
UGCUGCAGCAGUAGGGAAUCUUCCACAAUGGACGAAAGCCUGAUGGAGCAACGCCGCGUGGGUGAAGAAGGUCUUCGGAUCGUAAAACCCUGUUGUUAGAGAAGAAAGUGCGUGAGAGUAACUGUUCACGUUUCGACGGUAUCUAACCAGAAAGCCACGGCUAACUACGUGCCAGCAGCCGCGGUAAUACGUAGGUGGCAAGCGUUAUCCGGACUUAUUGGGCGUAAAGGGAACGCAGGCGGUCUUUUAAGUCUGAUGUGAAAGCCUUCGGCUUAACCGGAGUAGUGCAUUGGAAACUGGGAGAC